This 309-nucleotide long non-coding RNA is filed under the name Brassica napus (rape). Its description in RNAcentral is "long non-coding RNA (BNAP_LNC010750)". Lineage: Eukaryota; Viridiplantae; Streptophyta; Magnoliopsida; Brassicales; Brassicaceae. The record is from RNAcentral.
GAAAUUAGGAUAACAAGAGUUUUUGUUGAUAGAUGCGUAUGGUUUUAUAAUUUUUGUUAAGAAAUAUAAUAGAUUUGAGAUUAUGAUUUAGAAAUUAGGAUAACAAGAUUUUUUGUUGAUAGAUGUGCAUGCUUUUGUAAUUUUUGAUCAAUAGGUUAUAUUUUAUUAAUAAAAUUUCUACAAACUGCUACUUUUAGAAAGUUAUCAUUUUCGUAGAGAAAUAUUGUAGAUUUGAGAUUGUGAUUUAGAAAUUAUGAUAACAAGAGUUUUUAGAUAUAGAUGAGUAUGGUUUAAAAAUUUUUGAUCAAC